AGUCGAACGGAAGCCUUUGGGCUUUAGUGGCGAACGGGUGAGUAACGCGUAAGCAAUCUGCCCUUAAGACGAGGAUAACAGUUGGAAACGACUGCUAAGACUGGAUAGGAGAUAGGAAGGCAUCUUCUUGUUUUUAAAAGACCUAGCAAUAGGUAUGCUUAGGGAAGAGCUUGCGUCACAUUAGUUAGUUGGUGGGGUAAAAGCCUACCAAGACGAUGAUGUGUAGCCGGGCUGAGAGGUCGAACGGCCACAUUGGGACUGAGACACGGCCCAAACUCCUACGGGAGGCAGCAGUAAGGAAUUUUCGGCAAUGGAGGAAACUCUGACCGAGCAAUGCCGCGUGAACGAUGAAGUAUUUCGGUACGUAAAGUUCUUUUAUUAGGGAAGAAAAAAUGGUGGAAAAAUCAUUAUGACGGUACCUAAUGAAUAAGCCCCGGCUAACUAUGUGCCAGCAGCCGCGGUAAUACAUAGGGGGCAAGCGUUAUCCGGAAUUAUUGGGCGUAAAGGGUGCGUAGGCGGUUAAAUAAGUUUAUGGUCUAAGUGCAAUGCUUAACAUUGUGAUGCUAUAAAAACUGUUUAGCUAGAGUUGGAUAGAGGCAAGUGGAAUUCCAUGUGUAGUGGUAAAAUGCGUAAAUAUAUGGAGGAACACCAGGAGCGAAGGCGGCUUGCUGGGUCUUAACUGACGCUGAGGCACGAAAGCGUGGGGAGCAAACAGGAUUAGAUACCCUGGUAGUCCACGCCCUAAACGAUGAGUACUAAACGUUGGUUAAAACCAGUGUUGAAGUUAACACAUUAAGUACUCCGCCUGAGUAGUACGUACGCAAGUAUGAAACUUAAAGGAAUUGACGGGACUCCGCA
Molecule: ribosomal RNA, 858 nt
Filed under: Candidatus Phytoplasma convolvuli
Lineage: Bacteria; Bacillati; Mycoplasmatota; Mollicutes; Acholeplasmatales; Acholeplasmataceae
Description: bacterial SSU rRNA
Rfam family: Bacterial small subunit ribosomal RNA
Source: RNAcentral